ACUUUAAUUAAUUUAAGUCUAAUCUGCCCACUGAAAUUUUUUGAAGGGCCGCAGGAAUAUUGUGCAAAGGUAGCAUAGUAAAUAGUCUUUUAAUUGGGGACUAGAAUGAAUGAUUGGACGAAAUAUUAACUGUUUCUUUUUUAGAAAUUAAAUUUAUUUUUUUAGUAAAAAAACUAAAAUUACCUAGAAAGACGAGAAGACCCUUUAGAUCUUUAUAUAUAAAAAUAAAAAAUUUAUUGGAGUAUAUUUAAUUGGGGUGAUUAAAAAAUUUGUGUAACUUUUAGGGAAAAAAACAUUUAUGUAUGAAUUAUUUAUUAUUAGCUAUUUUUAUAAAUUAAUAUUAAGAUACCUUAGGGAUAACAGCGUAAUUUUAAUUUUUAGUUCUUAUAGAAAUUAAAGAUUGCGACCUCGAUGUUGGAUUAAAAUUAAUUUAAAAUGCAGAUGUUGUAAAUUUUAGGUCUGUUCGACCUUUGAAAUUUUACGUGAUCUG
RNAcentral lists this ribosomal RNA (490 nucleotides) under Parasericostoma drepanigerum. RNAcentral's name for it is "partial 16S ribosomal RNA". The stretch from base 356 to 490 matches the Rfam family "Bacterial large subunit ribosomal RNA", at positions 2473 to 2607 of the family's 2925-position model. Lineage: Eukaryota; Metazoa; Arthropoda; Insecta; Trichoptera; Sericostomatidae. The record is from RNAcentral.